RNA transcript from Mya arenaria, 3859 nucleotides. It is a transcript of the gene named axin interactor, dorsalization-associated protein-like, with no coding region annotated. The transcript is spliced from 11 exons. The record is from RefSeq and is a predicted model, not a curated record. Lineage: Eukaryota; Metazoa; Mollusca; Bivalvia; Myida; Myidae.
CUAUGACAAAUUUGUAUUUGUUUAUUAGUUUACGACUGUAAGGUACAAUUGCCGUUUUACGUUAAAAUCUGUCACUGGUAAAGUGAUAUGACAUUUUGUAAACAAAGUGAUUUAUUGAUGAUUUACAGCUUUGUAAAGGAAUUCGGUUUAUUAUGCGCUUGAAAUGAACGAUUUUGAAGAUGAGGAACAGGUUGUCACAGCUUGGUAUAAAGCUUUCCGUGCAGGAACCGACCAUGAUCUGUGGGGUCAGCCAGUAGAAGCCAUAGAAGAUUACAAAAGGUUGUCAAAGCAGUUCCAGAAAUGCUCGUCAUCUGACAUUUCCAACUUUAGCGAUGAACAAAAAAAAAUUGUGGGCAAGAUAGCCAUAUGUCUGGAACUGAGGUGUAGAUCCUUACAGAACCCAGGAACCUGUGAGGGUAUUUCCCUGGAUGAUCUUAAGAAAAUUGGUGCAACUCUUCAGAAUCUCUUAAAACAGAAGGCCAAGGACUUCCCGGUGGACGUGCUGGCAGCUCAGUUGAACUCGCGUGAGAGAAACAUAGCAGAACUACCAGACUAUGACAAUGAUGAAGACAGGCAGCCAUUACGAGAGCGAGGAAGCCUGUUGCCAGAGCCUGUUUCAUUCGGAGGCCGGCCGGUGCUGACCAUCAGGAUCGUGAAGAUCGGUCUUAAAGAUGCCAAACAAUACAUCGACCCCUACAUGUCCAUAUAUGUGAAAGACAGUCAGGGUGCUGAUCUAACGAGUCACCAGGACACGCCAGUGGCGAGUGUUAAGGAAGACUCAUAUGUGAUAUUCAACGUUGAUGUACACAUACAGAAAACUCUGGACAGUCUACCUCCUGCACGAACUCAGAUUGUGGUUAUGCAGUUUUCUUUGAGUUCAAGCACUACAAGCCGAAGAAAGGGAGCGUGAGCACGCGGUGCUGGACAGUCAUGGAGAGUGAUGAGAUUAAGGAGGGAACAGCCGUCCUUGAACUGUAUAAGAAGCCAGCCAACUACAGAAGGAAGAAUGUUCAGCUCUUCACUGUCAAGCCGCUCUUCCUGCACUUAAAACUCUCCAUCAAUCUCUGAUGUUAACUAUCACCGCAUUUCAUAGUCCCAAGUGUUCCCACCGUCCUGAAUGUUUACAAGCUCAUAUUUUAGACCUUUUUGCAUAGAAAUAGCUAGGCUCCCUAACAUCUGCUUUAAGAGUAAAACACAUUUUAGAGCCAGUGAUUUACAUGUUAUGAUAUGGCCUCCCUUGUCAUCGUUCAAACGAAGUCUGCAAUCUACAUGCAGGAAUCUAUUUCAUGCGCUUUGAACAGUAAUUAAGUCCAUAAAAGCACAAGCAUUAUUCACCAUCUCUGAAAGAUAAUAAUGACAUUAAAUCCUACAUGGGUUUUACAAGAGAAGUUUGAAUGUUAGAUAAUUAUGUGAUGGCUUUCUUUCAAAGGGCUUCUUGCAUUCCAACCUUAAAUCAUAGUUUAUCUUAUUAUAAGUCAUAGGUGUCAAAUGCAUAUGAAUUACUCUGACUUCCUAUGUUAACUGUGAUGCAUGAAUACAGUGUCUCAUCAUUCAAUCAAACAGAAUGCUGUUUUUGAUAACCAGUGUGAUAUUUAUUUGUCUCAACAUAGUUUUACAGUCAUAUAGCAUAGUUUUAGUCACUAACAUUCUCAUGUAUUGCAUUUAAUACCAAGGUUCAAUUAACUUAUACUGUGAUAUGAAAUAUACUUCAAUACUAAAUACUAGUAUAUCGUUCAAUUACUCACAUAUUCUACUACAUGUGAACUACUACAAUGUUAAAAAUACUGUUCAGCACACAUGUGAACUACUACAAUGUUUAAAAUACUGAUCAGCACACAUGUGUACUACUACAAUGUUAAAAUACUGUUCAGCACACAUGUUGUCACCUUAGUGCAAGAACUCAAUAUCUGCUUCUAUUUUUAUAUGCAGUUAUUGAGUUAUUGCACUAAGGUGACAAUGUGUACUACUACAAUGUUAAAAAUACUGUUAAGCCCACAUGUGUACUACUACAAUGAUAAAAACACUGAUCAGCACACAAUCAUGUGAACUACAACAAUGUUAAAUAUACUGCUCAACACAGUCAUGUUAUGUACCUCUAAAAUGUUCAAUAUACUGUUCAACACGUGUUAUGUACUACUACAAUGUUAAAUAUACUGUUCAGCACACGUGAGAAACACCUACAAUGAUAAAUAUACUGUUCAGCAAUUAUGUGUACUACUAUAAAGUUACAUAUACUGUUCAGCACAUGUUAUGUACUGCUACAAUUUUAAAUAUACUGCUCAGCAAUCAUUUGGAUUACAGCAAUGUUCAAUAUACUGCUCAGCCAACAUGUGUACUACUACAGUGUUAAAUAUACUGCUUGAGCAAACAUGUGAACUAUUACAAUGUUAAAUAUACUGUUUAGCACACAUGUGGAUUACUGCAAUGUUAAAUAUACUGUUGAGCACACAUGUGGAUUACUGCAAUGUUAGAUAUACUGUUUAGCACACAUGUGGAUUACUGCAAUGUUAAAUAUACUGUUCAGCACACAUGUGGAUUACUGCAAUGUUAAAUAUACUGUUUAGCACACAUGUGGAUUACUGCAAUGUUAAAUAUACUGUUAUCUGAAUAUCUGAGUAUAAUACUGUUCAGCACAAAUGUGUAGUUUUACAAUUUUAAAUAUUUUGCUCAGCACACAUGUGUACUCCUACAAUGUUCAAAUAACUGUUCAGCACACAUGUGUGCUACUACAAUGUUAAAUAUACUCCUCAGUACACAUGUGUGCUACUACCAUGUUAAAUAUACUCCACAGUACACAUGUGUACUACCACAAUGUUAAAUAUACUGUUCAGCACACAUGUGUACUACUACAAUGUUUAAAUAACUGUUCAGCACACAUGUGUACUACUACAAUGUUAAAUAUACUCCUCAGUACACAUGUGUACUACUACAAUGUUAAAAUAACUGUUCAGCACACAUGUGUGCUACUACAAUGUUAAAUAUACUGUUCAGCACAUGUGUGUACUACUACAUGUUUAAUAUACAUUUUAGCACACUUGUUUACUACCACAAUGUUAAAUAUACUUGUCAGCACACAUGUGUACUACUACAAUGUUAUAUAAUAUAUAUAUAGAGAGAGAUAUCGUUUUGCGCUGUUGUGAAGUUUGUUUAAGUGUAUAGUAUUAUUUGUUUAUAUUGUAACUGAAGGUUGUAUAUUUACAUGUUUUUAAUUCCAUUUUGUUAUGUAACACAGGGUUCAAAACCACACAUAUACUAAGCUAAGGAUCUCAGUUACUAUUUGUUUGAUGUGACUAUAGUUUAUUGCCAAGUUUUGUUGCAUGUAUCUUAGCUUGAGACUAGUUACAACAAAUACACUUUACUAUUAUGAAUUGAUUUAGUUUGACUACUGAAUAUCUGAGUAUAAUACUAUUUUGACGUGGUAAUGCAGGUAAAACUUGUGUUGAUCAGAAUUGUUAGAACUGAUUAUGUCCAUGAACGAUGAAUUUGAAAGUGUCAUCAUGGUCUACAUGUAUGUUUAAAAUGAAAUAAUUGUAAGUGGUUUUACUGUUGCAGUCAGUAAAAAAAUGUGUUCAAAUUCUCUUUGAUAAUGAAAUAUAAUAGUCCGGUAUUAUUAUUGUUGUUUAUAUUUUUGGAGCUUAAUCUACAUACAUUUAAUAAAAUCAAGAAUUAAUAAACCAAUCUGAACUUUUUACUGAAUACUUUAAGUAUUCUCAUCAUUGAACUAUUUUAAUAAGAUAUUAUUCCACUCACCUAUAUAGAGUAUAGAUACAUGUAGUAUGAUACAAAAUUAUAUAUUAAAAUAAUGUAGCCUUGCUUAUACAGUUGUAUACAUGUAUAUUUUAUUUGAAUAAUACUAAUA